UUUUUUUUUCUGUUUUAGCUCAGACAGGUUCUCGAUAAUGUGUUCAAACGUGUUUAACUUGAGUUGGACCAGAUUUAGUUUAAACUUAUCGGAGGCCAUAUUUUUCAAACUGUUCGUCCAAACUAAUUGUUUCUUUUUGCUUUAUGACUGUAUCAGCAUGUAGAUGAUUUAUAUCUGUUGUCAUGCUACUUUUGUUUUGGUUUUACAAAACUGUUUUCUUGUUGUUGGUUUUUAUUUGGUGUUAUAUGAAUGUGGUGAUUGAUUGUUGUCAUUGUUUGAAACGUGUAGAUUGCCGGAGUGUGACGCAAACUAUUGUCAGGAGUGUGAUCUUUUGAACCAGAAUCAAGGCAAGUUACAUGUUGAUCAUCCUUCACCUAUUAUUUUUCUAUGCAUGUAGUAUUAUAUCACCCUAUGAAAUUAUGCAUGUAUAGGAAUAUAGUUAUUAUGCUAUGCUAUUAAGCUAUCCCCUCGGCAUUGAAGAUCUUGGUAUUUGUAGAUUGCUAUGCUUUGUAGACGGGCUUGGUUCCUGUAUUCACUGAGUUUAUGUGAGGAUUACUAUGAAAUAAAUUGAGUAGUAAUUAAGGAUAUAAUACACCUCUGGGAGGAUAUGGUAUUGUUGGGUGGUUUCAAGAACAUCAUGGUUUCGACCCUCUGAAUGUAAGCGGAAUGUCGCCCAGGUUCAAAAAGAUCAGACAGACUUAGUGACUAGUAGCUUCCAUGUGCGACCACUGGCUGUAUGGGCUCUGGCUUAGUUGAUCAGUUGUGGGAACAUUACCCGAAUGUGCCAGUAGAUGUAGUUAUGGUAGUUGGGAUGGGCCUCCUAUGGGACUAGGUGACUGCAUCAAGGGGCAUCUCCACAUAAGCCUUUAGCCAUAGGAUCGGGGUCCCUAGGCUAUUGUAAGUGCAUCUAGUGCCCCUUAGUGAUUUUGGUGGUUUGAAGACUUAUAGGUUAGCUAUCUAAUGUGUUCAUGAGUGUACACAGGAUCUAUAAGUCGCUGAGGAGUUUGAAAUAUUCGAUGAAUAUCGACCCCUAAAAAUGUAUAUCUUCGGCUGAAGAAAUUGGUCUGAAGCUGAAGAAUUGAAUUGUGAAGAAAUUGCGAUGAAAUUGAUAUUCCUCAUGAAGAAAUUGAAGAUUAGGAAUUCGGUGUGUCCUGAAGAAAAACAACCUGAAGAUUUUGAAGCAUGAAGAUUUAUUCUCUCUAUUUUAUUUUCUUCACCUUUGAGUCAUAGGAACACCGUACUGUUAAAGGGGGUCAAAGUAACACGUCAGAAUGAAUUUCCUCAUGAUGCUCAACCCAAGCCUAAUCCUACCAAAAGCCUCAAGUGAGAAAUAUGAGAGACAUGAGGACUCUCACAGUUGAGGGUCCCGACCGUUACCGCAAGUCGCGCCACAUCACUGAUCUUAUCCACACCAACGGUCAUAUUAUUUAAGGGCAUUAAGGUAAAAUCAUGUCGGGAUGCUCCCAGGCUAUAAAUAGCCACCCCCACAACCAUUAGCUGGUUGGCUGCUCCGUUGGAAACUGACACUUGUCAUAAGAGCAACCCAAAUUCCUCAGAGUCUUCAAGAGUAAUUCAUCAGUGAGGAAAUACCCCAAACACCAAACCACAAACCGAAAACCAAGUGAUUGAGCAUCACUGAAGAAGUUGUUCCUAUGUGGGACUGAAGCCUUUUACCUUUGAGGACUAUGCAUCCUCUAGACGGUUAGGCGUCAUGGUCUAGAGCAAUCCAGCACUCAAUUGUGGAUCGCCAAGUGACCAAGUUUGUGAGGGUUUGGAAGUCUGUCCUGAAGACUUACCACGAGUGUUGGGCGAGGACUCUGUGUUCUUAGCCCAAUGAGAAUACGGUAGGGACUGUGUGUCCCAGGAUUGUGUGUCUUUUGGUUUCAAUACCAAGCCGCUCCAAACCAGAUGUAAAAUUGUCACAGAAGUUGGAACUGGAUCAUCAACCACUGUCUUCACUGUGAAACGGGUUCUAUUUCUUCAACUCUUUAAAUUCCUCAUACUGUAUGUUGAUGAUUUUCACUGUCACUGUUUGAAGAAUUUGCUGAAGACUUUCUCUGAAAUUCCUCAACCCCAACUUCUUCACGCGAGUUAAUCCUCAUCUGUUUUCUCCGUGCCUGCAUACCGUGCAAACUAUUUUUCAUAUUCUUCACCUUGAAAACUGUUGUAGUGAUACUUUGCACUCCUGAUCCUUUGUUGUUUCCGCUGCAAGUUAGUCAUUAGUGAGGAAUUUCCUCAAACGGAAUUUCCUCAGUGAUGAAAUUCUAAAAAUCUCCUAUUCACCCCCCCCCUCUAGUCGAUAUAACGCACUUUCAAUUGGUAUCAGAGCAAGGUACUCCCUUGUUCUGUGUGAUUUUGGUUUAACCACCUGGAGUUUUAGUUAUGUCGACUACAAACAUGAUCUAGGUUACUGCGGGAUGUCCUACUUUCGAAGGAAAGGACUUUCCCUUCUGGAAGACCGAGAUGCAAAUGCAUCUACAAGCUAUUGACAAUGAUCUCUGGUAUAUUGUGGAACACGGUGUCCCUAUCGUCGCUGCUACUAUCUCUGCCGCUGAUGUGAAGAAAUUCAAGCAACUUGAUUCUCAAACGAAGAAUAUCAUCUGUGGCCAUCUGAGCAAGGGCCAGUAUGGCAGAGUGAGUGCUUUGGGCUCAGCAAAACUUAUCUGGGAAAGGUUGUCCAAAGUUAAUGAAGGAGUAUCAACCCAGCGUGAUUCUCGUGUUGAUGUUCUUCACAAUCUCUUCAAUUGCUUCAAGAGACUUAACAAUGAAAGCUGCCAAGAUACCUUUGAUCGCCUCAGUGACAUAUCAAAUGAACUGGAAGCACUGGGAGCUCGAGACAUUACUGACCAUGAAGUUGUGAAGAAACUGGUAAGAUCUUUGGAUUCUUCAUUUGAUACUUUAGUUCUGAUGAUUCAAGAAAGACUAGACUACAAGAUGCUUGAUCCAGCUGAUAUACUCGAAAGACUCAAUACUCAUGAAUUCCAACAAGAAGAAAAGAGAGAUCUAUAUGGACCAAGCUAUUCUAGACCACGUGCACUGAAGGCCAAAGCAAUUUCCUCAUCUGAAGAAGAAGUCUCGGAUGGUAGCAUUGGUGAUCCUGAAGAAUUUGGACAGGAGCUUGCAAUGCUCAUGAGGAAAUUCCAGAAGUUUACACGACGUGGCCAGUUUGGUAAAUCUUCAAUAAGAGAUAUGAGGAAAUCAGAAUCUUCAUCUGAGGACUACAAGAAAAGAACCUGCCACAAAUGCAAGAAAUCGGGUCACUACAUUGCUGAUUGUCCUCGUUGGGGAAAGGAAUCAAAGAAGAAGAAAUACAAGGAUGAAAGUUAUGAUGACUCGAAGAAAAAGAAGAAAUCUUCAAAAUCCUCAUCUUCAAAGUCCUCAUCGCACAAGAAGACUAUUUUCAGAAAGGCUGGGGCACUUAUUGGCAAGGAAAUGGAUUCUGAGGCAGAAUCCGAGGAAUGUGAUGAAGAGGAGGGUUAUGAUGAAGACUCAGAAUCUGGACAGGCUAGCCUUGCACUUGCAACCACAUUUGUCAGCAAGUCAAUCUUCAACCUUGAAGAAAAUGAUAACACCAUCCACAUUGAUGACUAUGCUGAUGACUUCGCUCCAACCUAUUGCUUCAUGGCAAAAGGUUUAAAGGUACCGAAUGAUGCUUCCUCCUCUGAUUCAAGUGACUAUGAACCUGAUGAUUAUAAAAAACCCAGUUACAGUAAACUUGCUAUCAUUGCCACUAAACAACAAACUGCCCUGGAAAAGCUUCAGAAACUGCUAGACGGAAGUGAUGAUCUGUUGAAUGAUGAAAUGAAUCUUACCCAAAUCCUCACUGAAGAUAUGAAAAGUCUUUAGUCCAGAUUUGAUAAUCUUCAAGAUCGUCAUGUUACACUCCUUGCUGAUCAUGAGAAACUUUCCUAUGAAUUUCUUCAAAGGAAGCUUGAUCUUGAGAAGCUAAGGAUUUCUCAUGACGAUCUUCGUAUGGAAAAUGAUUCAUUACUAGCUCAACAGAUCAGUGCUGCUCAAGCUGAAUUCAUUCCUCCAUGUCUUAAAUGCAUCGAAUGUGAAACUGCUAAUUCUUCACCAGAAUCAUCAAAUGCUUCUAUUGCUACAAAUUCUUCAACUGCCCCUGUAGUGUCAAAUUCCUCACUUGAGGAAACCACAAAUGUCACUGAUGAAAAUGCUGGGCUGAAGGAAUUGUAUGUGACAGGCAUAUACAAAAGUCUCAAAGGACACCAAACCCUUUGUGAUGUGCUCAAAAAGCAGAUCUUGAACAGGAACCCGAGGAAAGAAGGAAUUGCCUUUGAGAGGAAAUUGAAUGCUGAUGGAUCAUACUGGAAACCUGAGCAGUAUCCCAAAACCUCAUGGGUUGCUUCUACUGGGCCUCCUUUUGAUCCAUCCAAUCUAACAGGCUUUUCAUGUGAUAUAUCCUAUUCCUCAGAUGAGUCAUUUGACUCCAACUAUAAACUGUUCAAAAAUCAAUCUGGUGAAGUAUUUGCUCGAUAUGUUGGAACUAACUGCAGGAAUGGGCCUCUCCUGAGGAAGAUCUGGGUUCCCAAAAGUUGCCUUGAAAAUCUUCAGGUGAAUGUACUCAUGACACCACCUAUGAAGAAUUUGAACCGCAGAUCAAAUUCCUCAGGAGGACCAAAGUCUUCAAGAGGAUCAAAAUCUUCAACUGGUCAAAACUAUGCUCGUACCCGUGCUAAUGCUUCUAACAUGCAGGGAAAUUACAAGGAAUAUGAAUAUGAGUGUUAUUCUUCAAAUCAUUAUGUUCAUAAAUCCUCAAAUAAGUUCUCUACAUAUUCAUUUGAGUACUUUAACCCCCCUACUGUUAAGAGAAGUGCAUUAGCUUCAAUGCCCCCUUUCUCAUAUGGUGCUCGCAGAAUGAUGAAUGCUUUACCACCCCUUCAGAUGUGGGUGGUGAAGAAAUUGAACUAAUCACUUCUGCAGGUCAGGUCUCUAGAUGAAAAUCGUCAUGUGAAGAAUUUGCUGGAAACCUGAGGAAAACGCUUGAUGGGACGCAAGCUAAUAUUUAUGAAAUAGAAAUAUUUCACACGUCCUUAUAAUUCUAUUUAUGAUGAAAUUCCUAUCUGAUGAAAUUGAUAUCAUAUUCUUCAAGUCCGAAGCAUAUGAGAUGGUAAACUGUACUAAUUCAUCUGCAGGAUGACAAACCCAAGAGUACUGAGUGGGUUCUUGAUAGUGGCUGCACACACCACAUGACUGGUGACCAAAGCUUGUUGAUGAAUAUGCCACUAACUCCAUCACCCCUGAAGCAAAUCACAUAUGCUGACAAAGGUAAAAGCAAGCUAUUGGGACUUGGCAAAGUGGCUAUUUCCAAGGAUAGGCACAUGGACAAAGUAAUGCUUGUUGCAUCCCUUGGAUUUAACCUCAUUUCAGUCUCAAUGCUUUGUGAUCUUGAUAUGAUUGUUAUCUUUGGAAGAUAUAGAUGUGUUGUCAUCAUGGAAUCUGAUAGAUCCAAAGUCUUCGAAGGUGUUAGAAGAGGGGAUUGUACAUUGUUGAUUUCUCUACAGGUCCUCAACCAGCCACUUGCUUACUAGCAAAAACCUUAGAAGGGUGGUUGUGGCAUCGAAGACUUGGUCAUGCAGGCAUGAGGAAUUUGCACACGCUCGCGGAGAAGAAGCAUGUCAUCGGCACCGAAUCAGUCAAAUUCCUCAAGGACCACCUCUACGGUGCUUGUGAGUCUGGGAAAAUGACCAGAUCCAAGCACCCCUCGAAGACUAUCAUGACUAGUACUCGUCCAUUUGAAUUGAUUCACAUGGAUCUAUUUGGACCUACUCAUUAUGCCACCCUAACAAAUGCAGCAUCUUUAUAUGGCUUUGUCAUAGUUGAUGAUUAUUCUAGAUACACAUGGGUGCAUAUCAUUUUAUAUAAAACUGAAGUGCAGGAAGUCUUCAAACGAUUUUCCUCAAGGGCCUCGACGAACUUCGGCGUCAAGAUCAAACACAUCAGGAGUGAUAAUGUAACAGAGUUUAAAAAUACUAGUCUUGAUAAUUAUCUUGAUGAACUUGGUAUUACUCACGAAUUGUCUGCUCCUUAUACUCCUCAACAUAAUGGCGUCUUCGAAAGGAAGAACGGGACUCUGGUUGAGAUGGCAAGAACCAUGCUUGAAGAAUAUCAAACUCCUCGUCGCUUUUGGCCUGAAGCAAUUAACAUUGCAUGCCAUAUCAUCAACAGGGUAUAUCUUCACAAAUUCCUCAAGAAAACCUCAUAUGAACUCCUCACACACAAGAAACCCAAUGUAAGUUAUUUCAAAGUCUUCGGUGCAAAAUGCUAGAUUAGAGAUCCUCACCAUAGCUCAAAGUUUGCACCUAAGGCACAUGAGGGUUUUAUGCUCGGUUAUGGAAAGGACUCACACACCUACAGAGUCUUCAACACCUAUCACAACAAAGCUGUUGAGACUGUAGAUGUGCAGUUCGAUGAAACUAAUGGCUCGCAAAGAGAGCAAUUGCCUCCUGGUCCAGAUAAGUUGUCUCCUGAGGAAGCAAUAAAGCUCAAAGCUACUGAAGACAUUGUUCCUACUGAGGAAAUUGAUGAAGAGAUCAUUCCCAGCACUGAUGAAAAUCAAGAAGAUGCUCCUGAGAAAAUAGCUCCUGAACCAAUUCCUCAGCCCAGACGAAAUCCUCAACCAGCUCAUCCGAGGAUUGCAAAUGAAGUGGAACUUGAAAAAAUCCUCAAUGACAUCAACGCGUCAGGUCCUCUCACUCGCUCAAAGCUUCACACUUAGUUAACUUUUGUAGGCAUUUCUCCUUUGUGUCUAUCACAGAACCUUCAAAAGUUGCUGAGGCUUUCAUGGAACCGGAGUGGAUCCAAGCCAUGCAAGACGAACUUCUUCAAUUCAAGUUGAAUGACGUAUGGGAGCUCGUCAAACGACCAGAUCCUCGCAAGCACAAUAUCAUCGGCACCAAGUGGAUUUUCCGAAACAAGCAAGAUGAGGAUGGUCAAGUGGUGAGGAAUAAGGCGCGACUUGUAGCCCAAGGCUACACACAGGUUGAAGGAAUUGAUUUCGAUAAAACUUUUGCACCUGUUGCUAGACUUGAAGCUAUUCGAAUAAUACUUUCUUAUGCUAAUCAUCAUAACAUUAUCUUAUAUCAAAUGGAUGUGAAAAGUGCAUUCCUCAAUGGUAAGCUUGAGGAAGAAGUAUAUGUUGCUCAGCCCCCAGGUUUUGAGGAUCCAAAGAAUCCACACAAAGUCUUCAGACUCAAAAAGGCACUCUAUGGUCUCAAGCAAGCCCCUCGGGCGUGGUAUGAUACAUUGAAGGAAUUCCUCAUGAAGAAAGGCUUCAAACCUGGUUCACUCGAUCCAACUCUUUUCACUAAAUCCUAUGAUAAUGAACUAUUUGUGUGCCAGAUAUAUGGCGAUGACAUCAUAUUUGGCUGUACUAACAAACGUUACAGUGAUGAAUUUGCUUACAUGAUGAGUGAAGAAUAUCACAUGUCUAUGAUGGGGGAGCUGAAAUUCUUCUUAUGUAUUCAAAUUCGUCAACAACGCAAUGGAAUCUUCAUAUCACAGGAGAAAUACCUCAAGGAUGUUCUGAGGAAAUUCGACAUGUAUGAAUGCAAAGGUGCCAAGACUCCAAUGCCUACCAACGACCACCUCUGCACUGACGAAAAUGGUAAAGAAUUCGAUCAGCAGGUAUAUCUCCCCAUGAUUAGCUCUUUACUGUAUUUGUGUGCAUCUAGGCCAGAUAUAAUGCUUAGUGUUUGCAUGUGUGCACGUUUUCAAGCAAAACCGAAGGAAUCACACCAUAAGGCUGUGAAGCAUAUUCUUCGAUACUUAGCUCACACACCAACACUAGGAUUAUGGUACCCCAAGGGCUCAAAUCUUCAUCUUGUGGGAUAUUCUGAUUCUGACUAUGCUGGUGACCGUCUGGAUCGCAAGUCAACCUCCGGCACAUGUCAUUUCCUCGGAAGAUCACUAGUGUGCUGGUCCUCAAAGAAGCAAAACUGUGUUUCACUCUCCACUGCCGAAGCUGAGUACAUUGUUGCUGGUUCAUGAUGUGCUCAAUUACUAUGGAUGAAGCAAACCCUCAAGGACUACGGCAUCAACAUGAAGAAUGUGCCUCUCUACUGCGACAAUGAGAGUGCAAUCAAGAUUGCAUACAACCCAGUACAUCACUCGAAGACUAAGCACAUCCAGAUUCGUCACCAUUUUCUUUGGGACCAUGUCCUCAAGGGCAAUAUCCUCAUCGACCAUGUGAAGACUGACGAUCAACUCGCAGAUAUCUUCACUAAGCCCUUGGAUGAGAAAAGGUUUUGCAAGUUGCGGUGUGAGCUAAAUAUCUUAGAAUCUUCAAAUGUUUUGUAAAAACAUGCACACAUCCUAACACUUAUGAAUAAUUGAUGACUUAGAUGUGCAACACACGAAGAAUCGAUUUUAUUCAACCAAUGAAGAAUAUCACUCUUAGUGUGCGGAAAUCAACGAAGAAAUUGAUUCUCAAGGCCCUACGACAAUUGUACGCAGCGUCUGAAAUCAACAUUCUUAUAUGGUGGGUCACGCCACCAUCCAACUUGAAAUUCCUCAAGUUGAAUUUCUUCAAAGUUGAUUUUCUUCAAAGCAGUUGUUCUUCAAACUUGUCUUUCUUCAAAACUGAAAUUCAUCAUCACGACGCUUUGUCACAAAAUCCUCAAGUUAAUCAAAAUCUUCAAAAACACUUGAUGAUUUUCAUUUGCCUAGAUAUAUAUAUAGACUGUGAUUUCAAAGUCCUCAACAGCAUUCACUUAUAGCUAUUUCUUCAAUUUGAUAUUUCAUCUAAGUGAAUGUGAUCGGACCCUACUUUCCCUCCAUGCUACUCUCACCCAGUCUAUUCAAUUCUUCAUAUGCGUUCUACUUGAAACUUUGUUCAAAAUCCUCACCGCGUCCUUGUCAGCUGAUGAUUUUGUAACAAAAUCCUCAGAUCUUCAAAAAUGAUUUUUAUAUUGUUACACAGUAACUGAACCCCACUUCCCACGAUCACCUAAGCACGAUCUCCACCGCUUUAAACGGUUGUUACACGUGUCAUGCGGAGACGAAAGGACAGGGGUAGUUCGGUCCGAAAGAAUCGGCCAGACAGUUUUCACCUGGGCUAUAAAUAUGUCCUUAGCCCCCUCGGUCAAAACUCUUCGCUCUCUCUCUCUCGACCUCCUCUCCGCUACACCAAAGCCCUAGCGCCACCGCUAGAAGUCUCGUCGCCGGCGAGGAAAAGAUUGACUGUCUCGACCUCUCCGUCGCCGAAAUAACGUCAGAACCAGAUCAUCUUCGUCCGCCGCCGCCGUAGUUGUCCUCUGUUGCCGAGUUAGGGCGCAGUGGACUCCUACCGAAGAGCAUCUACUGCUACUUCUUUCUCUGUUCUUCGUGAGCGCUAUAUAGGGUAAAUAAAAACCCUAUUUUUACAGCCCUUUCGAUCUACUAUUUUACGUAGAUUUGUGAAACCUGUUUUUCCUCAAGUGUCCAUCAGUCUCUAUUCCUCAAACACUGCUUAUUCCUCAACCCACUGGUUAAAUUCCUCAACUUUAAAAAAAAUCAUUUCAUCAAAUCUGAGAACGCAUAUGACCUCUCCAAAUUUCUCGCAACUAUACUCUAUUCACACGUACAAAAAUGUCAGCUGAUGAAUCUCUAGGUUCUGAUCAACUUAACUCAUUUGCAGCGUUUCUUGAAGAAAAUCUGCAAGUUUCAUCGGAAUCCUCAAGAGUUCAUUUUCCUCAGCAAAAGCCUCAGCUGAAGAAAAUGGAAGAUGAAAGGAAGCAAAAGGGUGGCAAGAAUCUUGAACAGAACACAGCCAUCGAUAUUCCUGAGGACAUAUACCUCGAAUACUGUACACCUGAUGAGCAAGAGACAAUUCCCAAGAGGAAGAUAAGGCUUCAGAAGAUAGAACGCCGGUGGGCUAAGGAGUGGAAAGAAUACAGAUUCGUCACUCCCAAGUACGCGAAGAAAUUCGCUCUUAAGCCUCCUGGCAAACGGCCUCCUCUUGAGGAUUAUCAGGAUGCACACCCCUCAAGCCUCAAGACAAUUGAUGACUAUCCUGAGGAAAAGACAAAACAUUUGUCAAAGCUUCAGAAGCAGGCAGAAGCUGUUGUGAGGAAAUUUAAUGAAGAAUCUGUUGCUGCUGCUACUGCCGCCACCUCCUCUGCAGCUGAAACUUCUGGCACAGCCAUUCCUCAAAUGAAGUCGGUGCCACCAAAACCAAAGGCUUCAAAGCCUCGGGAGAAAAUGCUUCCGAAAGCUGCACCAGCAUCCGCACCAAAACUCUCAGCACCACCAAAGGCUUCAAAGCUUGAACACAAGCAGAUUGUGAAGCAACUGCCUACUGUCUCUAGCUCCUCUGUUCCUUCUGCAACAAGCUCUGAGACAAAGUCUUCACCAACUCCAAUGAAGACUAAGGUGACUGCUGGGAGAGGAACCAGACCAAGCCCUGGCUAAAUCAUCAAAGUCCCUUCUGCAUCAGAAGGCAGUGAUGAAUAUGAUGAUGAGACUCUGCAAGCCAUCAUCAGAAACAAGCAGGAGAGGGUAGCACAAGCUUCAGGCAGCGCCAUUCCUCUGGCCAUGGACCCAAAAGUCCUCUUGGAUUACAUCAACAUAUGGUAUGAGGACCCCAACACUCCUAUUGAUGAUUUGAAGCUUCCUCCAGGCAUCAGCCACAUGGUGGCCACUUUCAUCAAUGAGGCCAAGUGGAAGGAGACACAAGCCAAACAAGCUAAGGCUGCGAAGCUCAAAAAAGGAGAAAUUCCUCAGACAGAAUCUCCUCAACUUGACGCCUGAUGCACUUGUGUCCACUCAGGCAGAAUUGAAGACUUUGACUGACAAGUACACCAAGCUCUCUGAUCGUCAAAGUCUCAAGAACAAUUUCAUCAAAUUUGCUACAGAUGCAGUUGAUAAUUACAACAAGAAGGCUGCCCCUCCAGCAACAACACAACAGCCUGAGAUUGAGGAACCACAAACUGCCCCUGCUGAGGAAAUCCCUCAAGAAAGUCGUGCUGAUGAACCGGCUAUUGAGGAAAUAACCAAGGAAACUCCAACUGAUGACUCUGCUCCAACUGAUGAAACUGCUCCAGCUGAUGCAUCUAAGCCAGCUGAUGACUCUGUUCCAGCUGAAGAAACUGCUUCAGCUAAGGAAAGUGCCAGGACGGAUGUGUCUCCGCCUCCUGAAGAGAAAAUGUCUUCACCAAAAUCUUCAAAUGUGAAGAAAAUGACUCCGUCUGCAUCAGACGUGAAGAAGACGAGCUGCUGAAAAGGAAGCUAAAAAGAGAAAAGCUUCCUCAACAGAAGAAUCAACUAAGACCAAGCGCCUCAAAUCUCUUGAUGAAAAUGGUCCUCUGGAGCAUGUGCCUCUCAACAUUGCUCCAUCUUAUGAGAUGACUCCCUUCGAAAGCAAAGACAAGGAGCACUUGACUGAUCAGGAAAUGAAGAAUGCUGCGUCUGAGGAACACACUGAUGAGGAAAUUCAGAUUGAUGACGGUCCUCAGACCUUCAUUCCUCCUGAAGAACCUGCUCAAGGAUCAGCUGAACCAGUUGAUGAAUUUGGCUCCUCCACCAAGCAAACCCCUCAAGCUGAGGAAAAUCAAGGAGAAAAUCUUCAGCCUGAAGAAAAUCCAAAUCUUGAGCAAAACCCUCAACCUGAGGCUCAGGAUGAAGAUAUUCCUCCUCCUGAGCAAAAUCCUCAACCAGAGGCUCAAGUUGAUGACAUUCCUCAACCAGAGAAAGAUCCUCAACCUGAAGCACAAGCAGAAGAAAUUCCUCAUCCUGAGGAACAUGCUGAAGAAAAUGCCCCUGCACCAAAUCCAGAGAAUGCUCUAGUCGUUAUCAAUCCAGAAACUGCGAUGAUUGUCUCCCCUCAAGGGAAGAAGCAAAACCUUCAGCCGAAGCAACGUCAGCCAUUCUCCAAGCGGCCAAAGUUUCAAAAGGAAUCCUUCUUUGAGGAACGCAUGUAUCUCAUCGAAGAAAAUCCUUAUGAAAAGCCUCGCAUCAGGCACCUGAAGUUCUGGACCAGGACUCAGCUCAACUACUAUGCAUCCGUGAUGUGUGGAAGAAACAAGAUUUUUCAGCACAGGCAUAUUCCUCGUGUUGAGCUUGAACAAAUCCCGGGCUUUGCCCCAGUCCUCAACGUUCUUCAUGAAGCAGGACUGCUCCCUAUGUGCUCUGAUAUUUGUGAUUGGAAUAGUGACGUUGUUCUUCAAUUCUAUGCAACUCUACACAUCUCUGGAGAUCCAUCAGAUAUCAACACUUGGGUGCUGGAUUGGAUGACGCAGCACACACACUUCAAGGCCCCUACGAAUGAGCUGCUGCGAGAACUUCCUGUGUCAAUUCCUUCAGAGCAGGCUAUGAAGAUGUAUGAUGAACGGGAGCUGCCGAAUAAGCUGAUGGAAGUCCUCAUGAAGCCUUUGGCCAAGGGGCAACCACCAAGAACAACCUUCUUGGUCCAUGAGCUGAAGUAUGAACCCAGGACUGUUUACAGAAUCCUGUGUAGUAUUCUUGCGCCAAUCAAGGGUCAUGAUGAUGAAGAAGACGUUGUAGGCAUCAUGAAGAAUAUCCUCUUCAACAUCAUCCAUGGCAUUCCCAUCAACAUUCAUGAUUUCUUCUUGAGGACUCUGGUGGAUAAUGCUAUGUCCCCUUUUGACCUGAAGAUUUACGCUUCAUGGAUCAUGAGAUUCAUCAGACGAAGGUCGGGCAUCAACUAUCACGCUGAUUUCAAUAAUCACCAAGGAUAUAUGCCUCCACUAAGGGUCAACAAGAAGACUUUCGAGCCUGUUGAAGGAAAAGCAAAGUUUGUGAUUGAUGAAGGCAGUCAGCCCCUUGAUGGCCAGCUCCGAGAGCCAGAUGCAUAUUACUCGUGGGAUGACACUGAAACCCAUCCACCAAGUCCUGUUGCUCCAAGGGUGAUGAAUACCAGAGAGCUUCUCCUAAGUCUUCACCAAAAGGUUGAUCGAAAUCACAAGUGGGUCAAACACCAGUUCGGCGCCAUUGUGAAAACCCUCAAUGAGACUCAGAAUGCCGUGAAGCUUAAUCAUCAUUAUCUUCAUGAGGUUUUUGAUCGCACCUGGGCCACACUGGCUCAUUUGAAGACUCCAGCAGAACUUGAAGAAUUGGAGUUUGCACAGGACUUCGACUGGUCAUGGCCACCAAAGAAGAAAUUCAAGCCAAUUCCAGUUCCGGACCUUGAGGACAGUUCGUUUUCUUCAUUCCACACUGCUGAAUCAGAUGAAGAUCAACAAGACACUGCCACUGGUCCAAGGAGGAAGUUUGCUUCCAAGAAUCCUCACGCAUCUUCAUCAACUGCCAAGAAGUGAAAGUCUUCACGGGAUGUUAGUCCUCAGUUUGUCCCUUUUUGUCACUUGAUGACAAAGGGGGAGAAAUCUGAGAGUUAGUCUUCACGUGGGGAUAUAUUUUGGGGCUUAUAAACUUUAUUUAAGUUACAAACUCUUGUCUCGUCUGAAGUGUUUUAUGUAAUGAGUUGUAACUUAAGCCCGAUGGUACUCUGACGCUUUUGAACAUUUUUCUUCGCAUGCUUAUUCCUCAAAAUAUUAAUGCACGUAUGCUGGAAUUCGUCAGAUACCAUUUCUCAUCAUGCAUUCUCAAUUUCUUCAUACUAUAUGCCAAAUGUAUGCAUGAUUUACAAGACUCACGGGGAGAUCUCCAUGAUAUAAAUCAUCAAUGUGAAUUUGCUGUGAAAAGCAAAACCCUCAAGAUAUGCACAUCUUCAGGGGGAGUCUCUCUGAAUCUUGAUUUCAAAUUCCUCAAAUGAGUAUUUACACUCCAUAUUUUUAUCCCCGUUGAAGACUUAACCUAAUUGUCAUCAACCACCAAAAAGGGGGAGAUUGUAAGUGCAUCUAGUGCCCCUUAGUGAUUUUGGUGGUUUGAAGACUUAUAGGUUAAGUAUCUAAUGUGUUCAUGAGUGUACACAGGAUCUAUAAGUCGCUGAGGAGUUUGAAAUAUUCGAUGAAUAUCGACCCCUAAAAAUGUAUAUCUUCGGCUGAAGAAAUUGGUCUAAAGCUGAAGAAUUGAAUCGUGAAGAAAUUGCGAUGAAAUUGAUAUUCCUCAUGAAGAAAUUGAAGAUGAGGAAUUCGGUGUGUCCUGAAGAAAAACAAUCUGAAGAUUUUGAAGCAUGAAGAUUUAUUCUAUCUGUUUUAUUUUCUUCACCUUUGAGUCAUAGGAACACCAUACUGUUAAAGGGGGUCAAAGUAACACGUCGGGAUGAAUUUCCUGAUGAUGCUCAGCCCAAGCCUAAUCCUACCAAAAGCCUCGAGUGAGGAAUAUGAGAGACAUGAGGACUCUCACAGUUGAGGGUCCCGACAGUUACCGCAAGUCGCACCACAUCACUGAUCUUAUCCACACCAACGGUCAUAUUAUUUAAGGGCAUUAAUGUCAAAUCAUGUCGGGAUGCUCCGAGGCUAUAAAUAGCUGCCCCCCACAACCAUUAGCUGGUUGGCUGCUCUGUUGGAAACUGACACUUGUCAUAUGAGCAACCCAAAUUCCUCAAAGUCUUCAAGAGUAAUUCAUCAGUGAGGAAAUACCCCAAACACCAAACCACAAACCGAAAACCAAGUGAUUGAGCAUCAAUGAAGAAGUUGUUCCUGUGUGGGACUGAAGCAUUUUACCUUUGAGGACUGUGCAUCCUCCAGACGGUUAGGCGUCAUGGUCUAGAGCAAUCCAGCAGUUAAUUGUGGAUCGCCAGGUGACCAAGUUUGUGAGGGUUUGGAAGUGUGCCCUGAAGACUUACCACGAGUGUUGGGCGAGGACUGUGUGUUCUUAGCCCAAGGAGAAUACGGUAGGGACUGUGUCUCCCGGGACUGUGUGUCUUUUGGUUUCAAUACCAAGCCGCUCCAAACCAGAUGUACAACUGUCAUAGCAGUUGGAACUGGGUCAUCAACCACUGUCUUCACUGUGAAACGGGUUCUAUUUCUUCAACUCUUUAAAUUCCUCAUGUUGUAUGUUGAUGAUUUUCACUGGCACUGUUUGAAGAAUUUGCUAAAGACUUCCUCUGAAAUUCCACAACCCCAAAUUCUUCACGCGAGUUAAUCCUCAUCUAUUUUCUCCGUGCGUGCAUACUGUGCAAACUGCUUUUCAUAUUCUUCACCUUGAAAACUGUUGUAGUGAUACUUUGCACUCCUGAUCCUUUGUUUCUUCCGCUGCAAGUUAGUCAUCAGUGAGGAAUUUCCUCAAAAGGAAUUUCCUCAGUGAUGAAAUUCUAAAAAUCUCCUAUUCCCCCCCCCCCCCUUCUAGUCGAUAUAACGCACUUUCAGCUAUCUGCUCGCGGCUAAAUGCUUAUGUGGAGAUGCCCCUUGAUGCAAGAAAGGAAUAAUAUUGGCUCAAGCUUCAAGCUAGAAGACUCUUCAUUUUAUAUUUGUGAGAAAUCACUUUUGAGUCCAUAGGAAAGCCAAUACUAUUAAAAGGGGAUGAGAUAGUUAAAUGAACGGAUUUCUCAAAAUGCUCAAAGUUAGCCACCGAAAUACUCAUUCAUUUUUCCCACAUAUCCACUCUGUCAAAUUCCAUAUACACAAAUUCGGUGUCACCAACUUUCACAUUUCGGACCCACCGCGUUUGGCCUUAGACAGAAACCCUAGCCAUUCCCACCAAAUCGGUGCAACCGAAUCCAUAUUGGUGCUACCGAGUUUGGGUGACCAACUUUUGGGUGCCUCGAUACACAAAAUCGGAAUUUCCGAGUUCGAGUAUCGGUGCCACCGAGUUUGGUCAUCUGACCGUUAGCCACCUUUUCUGUGUCACCGAGUUUCAUACAUCGGUCUCACGGAGAUUCAAAAGUUGAUGCCUUUAGUGCUAAUUGGUACCACCGAGUUUUUCACUUCAGUGUCACCGAGUUUGCCACUUUGUGAGUAACGGUUGGAUUUUGUGUGAUGCCUAUAUAUACCCCUUCACCCACCUCUCAUUCCUGGGAGAAGCACUCAGAACACACACUUCAUUGCCAGAUCCAUUUUCUAAGAGAGAACCACCUACUCAUGUGUUGAGACCAAUAUAUUCCAAUCCAUCAUUUGAAACUUUAUCUCUAGCCUCCCCAAACAGCUUUCCAUCAAAUCAAUCUCUCCUACCCAUGCAUAUUCAGUGAGAGAGUGAUUUUGUGUUGAGGAGACUAUCUUUAGAAGCACAAGAGCAAGGAGUUCAUUGAUCUACCACGUCUAUUACCUUUUGGAGGGUGGUGCCUCCUAGAUUGGUUAGGUGUCGCUUGGGAGCCUCCUACUUCAUGUUGUGGAGUUGAACCAAGACUUUGACGUGAGCACAAUGAUUGUUCUAUUUGGAGUUUCUUCUUCUUCUUCAUUUAUCUAGGAUGGAUUCCAGGCCGAUAGCUUGGGAUAGCAAGGAUGGAUGUCGUUCUUUUAUCGUUUGUUUUCGUUCGUAUCCGGACCCUAAUCUUCUUCACAAUGAUUGAUUAUGUUGUUGUAUUGAUGUGAUCUUGAUGUAGCUUGUGGUGAGUGUAAGCCAACUCCUUAUACUCAUCUUUUCAGUACAUGUACUCGUAUCGAUAUCCAUUCUUGCGAAACGACGAGAUGCGUUUCUAUCCCUGUCGAGGCCCUCACGCCAAAAUAAGGAUAGGGCAUCUUGGGCCAAUUUGAAACGCACAAGAUGCGAUCCUAUCCUUAUUUUGGCUCGAGGGCCUCGACAGGGAUAGAAGCGCAUCUCGUCGUUUUGCAAGAAUAGAUAUCGUUACAAGUACAUGUACUGAAGAGAUGAGUAUAUGGAAUUGGCUUACACUCACCACAAGCUACAUCAAGUUUAAAUCACUACAACAACAUAAUCAAUCAUCAUGAAGAAGAGUAGGGUCCGACUAAGGACGAAAACAAACGAUAAAAAACGACGUCCAUCCUUGCUAUCCCAGGUUGCCGGCUUCGAACCCAUCCUAGAUCGAUCAGGAAGAAUAAGAAACUCCAAAUAGAACAAUCAUCGCGCUCACGUCAAGGUAUCGCUUUACUUGUACCUGCAACUGGUGUUGAGUAAUCUGUGAGCCACAGGGACUCAGCCAUCUCAUUUCCAAAGGUAUCAAUACUAGCAAAGCAUAAUGGGUGAGGUAUGGUUAAGUGGUGAGGCUGCAGCAAGCGACUAAGCAUUUAUUUGAGGUGGCUAACUUAGAAGUACAAGAAUAAGACGGGGAUGAUCUACGCACAUCGGACGUGAACUAACAAUGAUCAAAUGAAUGAUCCUGAACCCUACUUACAUCUGACAUAACCCACCAUGUCCUCGAUCGGAGAAGGAGCUCAAGAAAGAGACAAUCACGGUUACGCACAGUUUACUUCAAGUUAUCUAGAAUCGGAUGUUAAACAAAGUUUCCAAGUUUGUCACAUAACCGCGGGCACGGCUUUUCGAAAGAUUUAACCCUUUAGGGGUGCUCCAACUAGUCCAUCAUAAGUUACCACCAAUCCACAUAGAAAGCCUCGACCACGAAACUCAUGAUCUCCUCGGAUUCCUUAUUGGAAAACCUCAACUCUGAGACAGCCCAAAGCAUCACCGGAAUCCCGAUGCACAAGAUAUUUCGUAAACGGUAAAACUAAUCCAGCAAGGCCGCCCGGCGUGCCGAUAGAGCCGAUGGGAGCCGCGUAUCUCGUUCUCAGGGCACGACCGGAUGAGCUAGAUGUCGGGUUGGCUCAAACUCCGGGUGACCAGGGGGCGCUCGACAUCGCUCAUGUUGGACCACCACUCAUGAGGACCACUGGCCCGGGAGUUGAUUAAUUUCCUUGGGGGUCGACUAGUCCCUAUGCAAGUUUAUUAGUUAUUAGGCAAAUGUAGUACCAAAGUUGGGCCUUGCCAGACAAGCUUUAACUAAGACGAGUUAUCAAGGGGGUCCCCAUAACAACCCCGAUCGUGUUAGGAGCGCUCAAUUAUGGAAUAUAACACCGGUAGCCGAAACUAAGGCGACAAAGGUGGAACAAAACACCAGGCUAGAAAGGUCAAGCCUUCCACCUUUUACCAAGUAUAUAGGUGCAUUAAUUUAAAUAGCAUUAAUAUGGUGAUAUAACAAGGAUCCCAUGUUAUCACAUGGAAGCAACUGCACCUGCAACUAGCAACGCUAUCCAAUGGUUAAGCAACCGGUAACAUAGCCAUUUAGUGGUUUGCUAGGUUGUAGAAAGGUUGAAGGUUUUUAUGGCAAUGUUGGAAGGCUUAUUAAACAGGUGGUAGGCAUUGAGACAUAGCGAUAGAAAUGAAACAACUAGCAUGGCAAUGAUAGUAAUGGUAUCUAGGGAAAUGAUCAUCUUGCCUGUGAUCCGGCCUGGAAGAAGAACGAAACCCUCAAGUAGACGAACCAACAUAGUCGAACGGAUCCUCACACUCUGAAGCGGAUCGGAGCUCUAUCGAGAAGAAGCAGACUGGAAAAAGAAUCAACACACGAUAUUCACCACGACACAUGCACGAUAUGAUGCAAAACCUAAUAUGAUGCAUGUCCAUUUCAAUUAUGCAAGGCAUGGCAUGGCAAUUCACAACAUCAAACACUACACAUUAAGUGAAGCUCAAUAUGCAACGAGUUGCAUAUUGACGAAACUCCACAUUCGAAUUAUUUAAUUCACUCCCGUUUAGGUACACGACAAUUUUAAAAUAUUGUUCACAUGGCAAGAGGUGAAGCAUGUGAUUCUACACGUCAUUCUAGUCGGUUACACAUAUAGCUCAUCUCCGACGGAGUUACGGCCUACAAGAUACGGGCAACGCAAGAUAUUAUGCCAUGAAUACAACAUGCAUGCAAUUUUAUUAAACACUGGCAAGAAGGAUAUGAAGCAUGUGUCACCAUGAGGAAAGAAAGAAGACCAUGGGGCAAAGCGGAAACGAUGCCACGGCAACAUUCCGGUCCCGAUAACUCGACGAGAUAUCAGUACCAACGAAUUUUGAGCGUGUGCAUGUCAUGCCAAAGAAUGAUGGGGUGAUCCCGGUAACCAGGUUCCCAUGUGUCGGGGCACGACAAAAGAGGGACAACGUGCAACGAGCAAUCAUAUAUGGUGCAAGGAUACGGUUCAACUCAUACAUCACAUGUAUUCGGUCCACGGCAUCGUCCCAACGGUUAUACCUUUGAAGCGUGCAUUUCGGAGCGGAUCGAGGUUCGUCGAGGGAAGUAGUCGUACACGUGUCGUCGUGGACGUCGUUGAAGUAGUCGUACACGCAUCUUCGGUGAUGGUAGUUGUACACGGUUGGUGACGAACUUGACGUAUCCACGAUCUUCGGAGGUCGACGGUAGUGGUUCCCGUAGUUGUUCACGUGUCAAAUCGUUGGCCUUGAUGAAUCGGAAGGGAUACUUGGCGAUCCAAGGGUGCUCAUGUUCAAGGAGGUCUCGGUUCCGGUGAUGGCAGCAAAGGAACAUGGUCGUCUUGCACUUGCGUGAACCAAAUCGAAAUGACACAAAAAAUUACGGGUGACGCAUCCAAAUGGCCAACCUAAACCAGUUGCAUCUGAGGGCAGCAAGGAGCCACGACAAAGGUCAGCGACAACAACAACACACAGGAGUGGCAACAGCAUGCUAUAGCAACAGCAGGCGGUAGAAGCAGCAAACAGUGGAUGUUGGAGGAAGCAAAGGGCUCGGGCAGCUUGUGUGCAGGGGAGAAAACGGCGCAGCCUAGGCGCUGGCAGCUGUGAGGAGGCGGGCAACAUCGCAUGGGUUCUCGAUAGAGGCCAAUGCCAUGGGAGGCGGGAGGCGGUCGAGCGCCAUGGCUGGGAAGGAGGGGCUCGAGGCGAGCUCCUCAUGGCUGGCGGGGCAGCGGGCGAGACCGAGCUGGGCCGUCUCCUAGGAGACGCUGCGUCAACGCUCGCUCGAGAGCGACCACGAGGGGUUGCUCUCAUUCUCCACGAAGCAAAACGAAGGCGGCACGACCCCUCGUCGGAUUGGGAGCAGGACGCAGAGGGGCGACAAAUCCUCGCCGGAUCUGGAGGUGGGCGAUUUAGCGGACCAAAUCCGAGGCGGAGCAGCAACGCAUGACGGCGAACGAAGCUACGGCACGGCUGGCGGAGCUUGCGGGCCGACCAUGACAGCGAGCGAAGCAGGGGACAUGGCGGCGACAGGCGAUGAACUUGGUGCUGGCAGGGAGCUUGGGGCGGAGGCGACCUCGAGGCCGGCAACGGAGUAGUCUGCGGGGCUGCGUCGACCGGCGAGCGCGCUGCUGCGACAGCGGGCACGGCGGCGAGGCCUGGGCGUGAUGAGGGCGGCUGUUGUAGAUGCGUGGGGACGAGGAGCAUCUCCUCGACGCAGAGGAGGCACAUGCGACUGCGGGUGCGGCUAUGUGUUGCGGGUGUGACGAGGCUCUCGGGCCCUGGCUGCUCGAGAGAAGAUGGGCGCUUGCGCGGCUGCGGUUGGCUGGGCUGGAUCGGGCAGGGGCGGCACUGGUUGGGCAGAUGGGAUCUAGGAGGAUCCCGAGGAGGGACAAAGGGGGCGGCGGCGCUGCGGGGUUAGGGUAGGCUAGGUCUAGGGUUAGGUCAAGGUUUGUCGAAAAUGGACUAGAGGCACACUAUAUAUAGCACGAUGGUUAGUUUUAGGGGCAUGUGGACCCUCUGAUUUAGAUCGGGUGGUCGAGAUAAUUAGGUUAGGAAGUCCACUCAAGAAACCGAUGACGCUUUGCAGUAAAACGGGGUUGAUCUAAACCCAACGGUCAAGACUGUCUGAUUCGUUCUGGGGGAAGUCUCGGGCUAGGUUGCGCGUAGGGUCGGUGCACUGUGCGAAGGGGCUAGGCAUAGAAGAGCGAAGGGGCUAGGCAUAGAAGAGAGGGAAAACGUACACCCGGCAUGAGGUUUUUAAAACACCAAAACGUCCAACAUUUGACCGGCUAUAGUGUCGCUAUAGGUUUAACGGUUCGGAUUCGAACGAACUCCGAUUGCGAUGAAACUUGGCAGGCGGUCUACCUAUAACUAAAUAAGAUCACACGCCAACUUUCAACCCAUUCAGAAAAUGUUUUAUACACACUUUUAAAAAUAAUAUUUAAAUGAUGUCGCGGGCGCGUGUGUGUGGUUGGUCUCAAAACGGUCAACGACAAAAGGAGAGAACCGACAACUACUAAUGGAUGCAAGUUUUGAAAACUGGCGACAACGAAGUGCCGAUGCAAUGCAGAUGAUGCGCAUGAUGCGAUGAUGAAUGCGACAAAUAAAAUAAUCACACUGUGGCAACCGAAUAAAAGGAGAAUCUUUUGGAGCGUCGGUCUCGGGCUGUUACAGUUACCUUCAGGUGAACUUACACCGGUGUGAUAUUAACCUUCUUUAUUGGGGACUGGUUAUCUUCCUAUGCAAUCACAUUCGUUCUGCGUACUUGACAAUCUGCAAGUUUCUCAUCCGUCUUAUUCAAGUCUUGGUACGCCAGCGCUUCUAGGCGCCUACACUAUACCACAUGCUUCGGUAUGCAGAUUCCAUGCGAAACUCUCGUGGUCAAACUGGUGAUUUUAGGAAAUCGAUAUGUGUCAACAGAUUGAUCUCUCGACGUCUUCAUCCAUCUCCAAUGAUCGACAUGUGUUUGUGUGUGGGCCUACCCAUCGCUAUCCACAGCUAGCCUUAUCUCUUCAUUCGAUGAAGCUAGUCCACACUUUCUCUCUGCCAAGUCUUUCUUUCCUCUGUUCUUCGUCCGCCUUCUCUCCUUUGCUCCUCAUGUCUCCACCAUCGCUCGUCGGUGCUAUCAAAAAACACCACCGAUGUUGCCCCCGUGCGCGGGGAUGGUGGUGCCGCCGUUGUCUCUGCUGUAAAAUCCGCUUUCUUGCAAACUCGAGGGGCGGGGCAAAAUCGAUGGUGCAUCCAUCCUGCGGCGAGUAGCGGUCGGGUACUCGCUGGCGAUAGUUCUUCAAAGCAACACAAGAUGGGUGAGGGAGUCACAUGUUGCGAUGGUCAUAGUGCUGGAAGCAUUGAAUUGUACGACAGCGAUGAGAUCUUGGCGCCAACAUCAUUGUUGCAUUCCCUCGCCACAUUAUCCUUCAUGGAGUCGUCGGUGCUACACCAGACUCCGACCAGACUUACAACGGCAACGAGGUCUCAAUGCCAACAUCAUUGUAGCAGUCCAGCUCGUUGACGAUGCCACAAUGCAACUACGGAGGGGAUUGUGUGCUUGGAAGGAUGACGAUGCCACAAUGCAACUACGGAGGGGGUUGUGUGCUUGGAAGGAUGACGAUGCCACAGUGCAACUACGGAGGGGGUUGUGUGCUUGGAAUGAUAUAAUGGUGCCGAUUCAUACGAUGGUUGGGCCACCGAUGUCCGAUGAAGCAUCGCCGUGGCACUAGUGUUGCGGUGAAGCAUCAUCAAAGCUGAUGGUGCUUCGUUGAAGCAUCGUCGGCACUGCAAUGUAGCAUGCACGUCACAACACUGGCGAUGCCUUGCAAUGUCCGUCAAAGCUCGCCGGAGCUGUGAUGUGCCGCUCGUCAGUGCUGCUAUGCAGCAGCGUGCAUGCCGUUGUAGAGAGGCUGCUCGGUGCUGCGUUGGAGGCAGGAGUGGCGGCAGUGCUGCACUGCAUCAAUGGUGAGGGCUGUGCUGCUACACUGCAUCAAUGAUGGCUGAUGAUGCUGCAAAGUAGCAUCCAUGGCGUCUCCGACAACACGAGACGGUGGCUAGCAUCGCUGCUGUACAGCUGGGCAUUUCUUGGCGUAGAUGGAAGAAAAAAGGAAGAGAGACGCGCUGCACACCUGUUGGAUCGAACGACUAUAUGGACUUGAAUUGGACGGCUGAGCAAGCGGUUGAUCUUUCCUCAAGAUCAAUCGGCUGAUUUCUAGCAGCCCGGUGGUUUUUAGUUCUGGUGAAAAUGAACAAAACUUCUCUUUUCUAAAACUUUAACACAAAAUAAACCUAAUCUAAAAACUUUAACACAAACUGGACCGCACAAAAAAAGGGUCCCUUUUUGCACGACACCCCAGGCAAAAAGGGCAUUUUGUGAAAUAUUUUCUCUAUAUGCACCUGAAAAAUAUUAAGAAACUGUCAUUGAACAAUCUAAGAUAUUUAUUGAUAUGGAACAAAAGUUUAUAUAUAAAAACCCAGACGACUUGGACAUACUCCCCCCGACCCAAAAUGAAUGUCUCGUAUAAAGCUGAGACAAUUAUUUUGGGGCGAAGGGAAUACAAAGUAGGCCGCUGCUUCCAUACUUCGUCCAUGGAUGCUUCGGACACUCCAUUUGCUUGCUUGCAUAUUUGGACACUCCACUUGCUUGCUUGCAUAUUUGGACACGCCACUUGCUUGCUUGCAUAUUUGGACAAGGGAUGCUUCGAACGCCACUUGCAAAGAGAUUAACCCUAAACCAUCAGAACCAACGACAGCAUGUCUCUCCAAACAUAUAUGGGCUCCCAGUGCAAUCUGCAUUCUGCAAGAUGAAAGAAAAACAAGAACCAUGUGGUGACCCAUACCAUACAACCAAAUGCACAAAAGGGGGACAAUUAUAUGGUCCAGCAACGAUACAAGUUCCCAGUUAUAAAUGUUUAUGGUCCAUGUAUAAUAUCCUGAUGAACAAGCGCGGCAAACCGAAAACAAAGCAAAGCUAGUGCCAUCAAUGUUUCACAGAAUUUAUUCUUCCACCUCUGGACAUCUAAACACGAACGUCCGCCGGAUGCGUCUCCUCAGGCAGGCAAAGAUCGCUCCUAGUUAGUUCCCUCGGGCUUCUGUCAAGAUGAAGAGAUGUGUUAGUCCGUAGAAUAAUGUUGCAGUGAUAGCAAAAAGCAGCGCAAAUUGUAUCUCUAUAAGGACAGCGAUUACUUACAAACUGGCAAACCACAUAACCCUACAAGAAGCAUGGCAUGCCGAUAAAUCAUGGGAAAAUCUGAGCAUUUAGCUUUUCUUAC
RNAcentral lists this long non-coding RNA (23699 nucleotides) under Hordeum vulgare. RNAcentral describes it as "long non-coding RNA (HVUL_LNC018741)". The record is from RNAcentral. Lineage: Eukaryota; Viridiplantae; Streptophyta; Magnoliopsida; Poales; Poaceae.